CGGGGUGUAGCUCAGAGGAAGAGCGCCUGUUUUGGGAGCAGGAUGUCGUAGGUUCAAAUCCUACCACUUUGA
RNAcentral lists this transfer RNA (72 nucleotides) under Cyanobacteria bacterium UBA11049. RNAcentral's name for it is "tRNA-Pro". It matches the Rfam family "tRNA". From Rfam's summary of the family: Transfer RNA (tRNA) molecules are approximately 80 nucleotides in length. Their secondary structure includes four short double-helical elements and three loops (D, anti-codon, and T loops). Lineage: Bacteria; Bacillati; Cyanobacteriota. The record is from RNAcentral.